AGAGUGAACGCUGGCGGCAGGCCUAACACAUGCAAGUCGAACGGCAGCACAAGGGAGCUUGCUCCCUGGGUGGCGAGUGGCGGACGGGUGAGGAAUACGUCGGAAUCUGCCUAUUUGUGGGGGAUAACGUAGGGAAACUUACGCUAAUACCGCAUACGACCCCAUGCCGAGAGGCGCGGGGUGAAAGCGGAGGACCUUCGGGCUUCGCGCAGAUAGAGUGAGCCGACGUCGGAUUAGCUUGUGGCGGGGUAACGCCCACAAGGCGACGAUCCGUAGCUGGUCUGAGAGGAUGAUCGAGCCACACUGGAACUGAGACACGGUCAGACUCCGACGGAGCAGCAGGUGGGAAUCGUGAACAGUGGCGA
RNAcentral lists this ribosomal RNA (365 nucleotides) under uncultured soil bacterium. RNAcentral's name for it is "bacterial SSU rRNA". It matches the Rfam family "Bacterial small subunit ribosomal RNA", at positions 26 to 377 of the family's 1533-position model. The record is from RNAcentral.